RNAcentral lists this ribosomal RNA (474 nucleotides) under uncultured bacterium. RNAcentral describes it as "bacterial SSU rRNA". It matches the Rfam family "Bacterial small subunit ribosomal RNA", at positions 335 to 801 of the family's 1533-position model. The record is from RNAcentral.
ACUCCUACGGGAGGCAGCAGUAGGGAAUCUUCCACAAUGGGCGCAAGCCUGAUGGAGCGACACCGCGUGAGUGAAGAAGGGUUUCGGCUCGUAAAGCUCUGUUGUUAAAGAAGAACACGUAUGAGAGUAACUGUUCAUACGUUGACGGUAUUUAACCAGAAAGUCACGGCUAACUACGUGCCAGCAGCCGCGGUAAUACGUAGGUGGCAAGCGUUAUCCGGAUUUAUUGGGCGUAAAGAGAGUGCAGGCGGUUUUCUAAGUCUGAUGUGAAAGCCUUCGGCUUAACCGGAGAAGUGCAUCGGAAACUGGAUAACUUGAGUGCAGAAGAGGGUAGUGGAACUCCAUGUGUAGCGGUGGAAUGCGUAGAUAUAUGGAAGAACACCAGUGGCGAAGGCGGCUACCUUGGUCUGCAACUGACGCUGAGACUCGAAAGCAUGGGUAGCGAACAGGAUUAGAUACCCUGGUAGGAUAGCG